UCAAACAGAUCUUUUCCCAUAAUUUGUCAAGUUUGCUUCCUAUUAACAUAUCUGUUGUUAAGUCCACCCACAAAUUUUUGAUAUGGGUUUAGAUCUGCAGCUGUAGCUGGCCAGUUAAUUACCUUCAUAUGUUGAUGCUGUUUAGCCAGUUGUUAGAGCCGUAUGAAUAAGUGACUUAUCCUGCACGAAACAGACCACCACUUCUCUAAACAACAUCCGAGUGAAGGCAUGAGAAAGUUUUCCAAAAAUAUCAAUUUAUAUCAUAGCCAUAAAGUCUCCAUCAAUACAGACUAGCUCAUCUGAUUCAGCAGCUGUCAUCCAUCCCCAUACACCUGUAAUGAUAAAAAUAUUUUAUUAUAAGUAUGCAAAAAUCUCUUUGACAAAGUUUUUAUAUGCAGCUAAUGAAUAUCAACAUUUUAAGAGUCAAUUAUAUAUUGAUAUUAGAAAAAGUAAUGGGUAUCCAAAAUUUGUCCACUUUUACUUGAAAUAUGUGUUGUCUGAUUUGUCUUAUUUGCACAAAAAAUAUAAAAUACACACAUAAUAUAACAAACUCAGAUAAAUGGCAUACUCUAAAGAGCAGUGUUUCUCAACCUUUUUUGGCCUGUGGACUGGUAAAAUUUCUGAAAAAAAUUUCACGGACCGGUGGUUUUUUAACAAAAAAAUUUUAAUAGGUAUUAAAGAAUUACUACAUAAGUUAAUUGUAACAUUUCUAUUAUCAUUUACUUACAAUAAUAUUUAAAUAUAAAAAUAAGUUCG
This 756-nucleotide long non-coding RNA is filed under the name Androctonus crassicauda. The record is from RNAcentral. Lineage: Eukaryota; Metazoa; Arthropoda; Arachnida; Scorpiones; Buthidae.